RNAcentral lists this ribosomal RNA (505 nucleotides) under uncultured bacterium. RNAcentral's name for it is "partial 16S ribosomal RNA". It matches the Rfam family "Bacterial small subunit ribosomal RNA", at positions 28 to 507 of the family's 1533-position model. The record is from RNAcentral.
GACGAACGCUGGCGGCGUGCCUAAUACAUGCAAGUAGAACGCACAGUUUAUACCGUAGCUUGCUACACCAUAGACUGUGAGUUGCGAACGGGUGAGUAACGCGUAGGUAACCUGCCUGGUAGCGGGGGAUAACUAUUGGAAACGAUAGCUAAUACCGCAUAAUAUUAAUUAUUGCAUGAUAAUUAAUUGAAAGGUGCAAUUGCACCACUACCAGAUGGACCUGCGUUGUAUUAGCUAGUAGGUGAGGUAACGGCUCACCUAGGCGACGAUACAUAGCCGACCGGAGAGGGUGGUCGGCCACACUGGGACUGAGACACGGCCCAGACUCCUACGGGAGGCAGCAGUAGGGAAUCUGCGGCAAUGGACGAGAGUCUGACCGAGCAACGCCGCGUGAGUGAAGAAGGUUUUCGGAUCGUAAAGCUCUGUUGUAAGAGAAGAACGGGUGUGAGAGUGGAAAGUUCACACUGUGACGGUAUCUUACCAGAAAGGGACGGCUAACUACGUG